CAUCUCCUUUUGAUAAUAAUUUAAGGUCGUAUCUGCCCACUGAAAUUUUAAAUGGCCGCAGUAAUUUGACUGUGCUAAGGUAGCAUAAUAAUUAGUUUUUUAAUUAAAAGCUGGUAUGAAUGAUUUGAUGAGAUAUUAGCUGUCUCUAUUUAAAUUUCAAAGAAAUUUAUUUUUAAGUUAAAAAGCUUAAAUGAUUUUAAAAGACGAGAAGACCCUAUAGAGUUUAAUUAACUAUUAUAUGUUUAAAUUAAUUGAUAAUAAUAAUUAAUUUAUAUUAGUUAAUUUUGUUGGGGUGACAAUAAAAUUUGAUUAACUUUUAUAUUUAAAACAUUAAUAUAUGAUUAAUUGAUCCAUUAAAAGAUGAUUAAAAGAUUAAAUUACCUUAGGGAUAACAGCGUAAUUAUUUUAGAGAGUUCUAAUCGAUAAAAUANAUUGNGACCUCCAUGAUGGAUUAAAGUUGAUUNUUGGUGUAGAAGCUAAGAUUU
This 485-nucleotide ribosomal RNA is filed under the name Dromanthomorphus blawanensis. RNAcentral's name for it is "partial 16S ribosomal RNA". Lineage: Eukaryota; Metazoa; Arthropoda; Insecta; Coleoptera; Melyridae. The record is from RNAcentral.